ACACGUAGGGGGCAAGCGUUGUCCGGAAUUACUGGGCGUAAAGGGUGCGUAGGCGGCUUUUUAAGUCGGGUGUGAAAUAUCAUGGCUCAACCAUGGAAGUGCACUCGAAACUGGAAAGCUUGAGGUCAGGUAAGGGAGACGGAAUUGCCAGUGUAGGGGUGAAAUCCGUAGAUAUUGGCAAGAACGCCAGUGGUGAAGACGGUCUCCUGUACUGAUACUGACGCUGAGGCACGAAAGCUAGGGGAGCGAACGGGAUUAGAAACCCUAGUAGUCC
Molecule: ribosomal RNA, 274 nt
Filed under: uncultured bacterium
Lineage: Bacteria
Description: partial 16S ribosomal RNA
Rfam family: Bacterial small subunit ribosomal RNA
Source: RNAcentral